Molecule: long non-coding RNA, 558 nt
Organism: Equus caballus (horse)
Lineage: Eukaryota; Metazoa; Chordata; Mammalia; Perissodactyla; Equidae
Source: RefSeq, a predicted model, not a curated record
ACAUUCAGGGCAGAAGUUACGACAAGUGCGGGCGGAAGUGGCUUCUGCCAGGGGACGCGGUAGAACCCUCUGUGGAUGUGACGGCACGACGGAAGUGCAGGCGGGUUCUGCUAAGGGCAGAAGCUGAACCUUCGGAACGGUCCCGGGCUUCCGGAAGGGACUUCUGGGGAAGUGGGAGGGUGGAGACGCGACAGGUUCAUGAAUUAUGCAUCAAGCACUCAUGGCUACCUGAUCUUAUAUUGUUCGCUGUCCAGCUCUUCCCACUAGAAUCUCGGCUCCGUGAGGGCAAGGACUUUGAGCUGUUCUCUGCUGUAUCCUCAGAGCCUGCCACUUAGUAAGCAGAUGAUGAAAAUAAGAUUCCGAAGAUUUAAGUGAUUUUUCCCAAGGUCACAGCAAAGAAGUAGCGAAGGACACCUAAAAGGCUCCUAAGGCAGAACCAGGGACUCGAAUAUCUUGCAAAGGCUUUAUUUGAAAAUUUUGAAACUUACAUCCCACAAGAAUUCAAGAUUAUCACCACAAGAAGAAAGAGAUAAUACAAAAAUAUAUAUCACAGCAUAG